This 1297-nucleotide ribosomal RNA is filed under the name Karenia brevis. RNAcentral describes it as "bacterial LSU rRNA". It matches the Rfam family "Bacterial large subunit ribosomal RNA", at positions 1596 to 2925 of the family's 2925-position model. Lineage: Eukaryota; Dinophyceae; Gymnodiniales; Kareniaceae. The record is from RNAcentral.
GCUACCACGAUUCCGAGAAAAUUCCUGUGGAGAUUAUAUCGUUAAGUAGCCGUAUUGAAGCUGACACAGGCGAAUGAGCGAUAUACGCUAAGGGAACGAGAUAACUCUAAUUAAGGAACUCGGCAAAAUGACUCCGUAACCUCGGGAUAACGAGUGCCUAGUUAAUAGGUUCAAUGAAUUUGAUGUGGGCGACUGUUUAUCAAAAACACAGGUUUCCGCCAAGUCUUAAAACAAUGUAUGGAAGCUGACACCUGCCCAGUGCCUAAUGGUUAAUGUGAUUCGUUUAAGCAGAAUUGCGAAAGCUCUGGUGAACGGCGGCCGUAACAAUAACGGUCCUAAGGUAGCGAAAUUCCUUGUCGGGUAAGUUCCGACCCGCACGAAGGGUGUAACGACUUCCCCGCUGUCUCCAGCAUAGACUCAGUGAAAUUGAAUUCCCCGUGAAGAUGCGGGGUUCCUGCGGUUAGACGGAAAGACCCCGUGCACCUUUACUAUAGCUUUACAUUGGCAUUCGUAGUGGCAUGUGUAGGAUAGGUGGUAGGCUUUGAAACCUGGGCGCCAGCUCAGGUGGAGCCACCCUUGAAAUACCACCCUUAUUACUAUGGAUGUCUAACCGCGGCCCGUUAUCCGGGUCCGGGACAAUGUAUGGUGGGUAGUUUGACUGGGGCGGUCGCCUCCUAAAGAGUAACGGAGGCGCGCGAUGGUGGGCUCAGAACGGUCGGAAAUCGUUCGCUGAGUGCAAUGGCAUAAGCCUGCCUGACUGCGAGACUGACAAGUCGAGCAGAGACGAAAGUCGGUCAUAGUGAUCCGGUGGUCCCGCGUGGAAGGGCCAUCGCUCAACGGAUAAAAGGUACGCCGGGGAUAACAGGCUGAUGACCCCCAAGAGUCCAUAUCGACGGGGUUGUUUGGCACCUCGAUGUCGACUCAUCGCAUCCUGGGGCUGGAGCAGGUCCCAAGGGUAUGGCUGUUCGCCAUUUAAAGCGGUACGUGAGUUGGGUUCAGAACGUCGUGAGACAGUUCGGUCCCUAUCUGCCGUGGGUGUAGGAAUAUUGAAAGGAUCUGUCCCUAGUACGAGAGGACCGGGAUGGACGGAUCUCUGGUGGACCUGUUGUGGCGCCAGCCGCAUAGCAGGGUAGCUAUAUCCGGACGGGAUAACCGCUGAAGGCAUCUAAGCGGGAAACCCACCUUAAAACGAGUAUUCCCUGAGAACCGUGGAAGACGACCACGUUGAUAGGCCGGGUGUGGAAGAGCGGCAACGCUUGAAGCUUACCGGUACUAAUAGUUCGAUCGGCAUCUAAGC